UAUGAUGAAAUACUUAACUAAUUAUAAUACUGGGAGGAAUUAUAUUUUAUGUAGCUAUGAAGAUAAAGUGAUAGUGCUACGAGGAAAAAAGAUUUAUCUCAGGCAUCAUUGAAGUAGGAACAAUUUAGUUGGGUCUCAAGUCUUUUCUAUGAAUAAUCUGAUCUAGGAAGAAGAAAAUACAUUAACAACUUAGCUGAAAACCUCAUUUUAAAAAAGUAAAAGUAACCACUCAGUUUUGUUUUACUUAUUUUUUUCCCAUUUUUUAUUCUUGGUGGGAUGAGCGUGAAUGAGGCAGAUGAGGAGGACAGAUUUAAAUGUUGGUUCAUGCUGCACUUUUGGAAAAUCUCAGAGGAGAAAACCAAAAUUGGUUAAGUCCAUGAUGUGCCUAUCUGCCUGAGUAAAGAGAGAUGAAAGGUGUUGAUAGGCCAAGGUCUGUCAUGUGUAGUUCCUUUAUUGGGGAUUUUACCCACAGCCCCUGCUUAGGGAGUCAUAAUUGGCAUUGCCAAUGUCUGCACAGGUAGUUUGAUUCUGUCUGUAUAUCUUCACAGCCAGACAUCUGUCUGACCAGGACAGGGCAUUUUGUCUGUGGGCAGCCAAUCCACGGCUGGGAAAUGGUCUGCCGCAUGGGCUACUGUGAAAGCGUUGACCCACCAGCAAUAACUCUUCAGUUAGAUCCAGCCUCAUGCCUAUCUUGGGAAUGGCAAACUGGAGAGAGAAUGAAGUGAGAACUUGUAGCAAAAAUGGAAGGAUGAAUGGAGAGAGCCAUGAAGCUGCAGAGGAUAAGUGAAGUCAGAAGCCUUAACACAAAGAACAUCCCAAGGAGAGUGAUGUGGUCAGUUAUUAGUAUCGGAAGCCAUAGAACAUGAGACAGAAAAGUUGCAGUCAUUAUAAAGAUAUCAGAUCAAUGAUUUCUACUUGUCAAAGAAGAGAUGAAACAUCGGGUGCCUAAAGCUUCCCUUAUUCAAUCUGUGCAGUUCCAGACCUGGGUCCUUCACUCUGCAAAGUCUACAGCUGUCCCAAUGCCACCUGAAGUCUCACUUAUCUUCACGCUUUCUCAGCUGCCUCUUCCCCUCCCCACAUGACAGGAGACAGUAGCAAGGAGUCUCUGCUCCUUGAACAAUUGAAUGAAUGAAUGAAUGAAUGAACCUAAGAAAACUAGAACAAAGAAAAUCUUUCCCCAAUGGAAUCUUACAAGUUUCAUGGAUUCUAAGGGAGUGAGUGCAUGCUUCUGAUCAAAGUUCUAACCAAGGUUAGUGGGACCUGAAGUUUGAACAGUUGGAAUGGGCCUCUUUAAGACAAGGAGUUGAAAUAAUCUCAUUUGCUGUAUGUGAAUACGUAGAAUUAACUGGCACCUGAGUAAGCAGGGAACCCUAAAGCUGCAGCUCCUCUAGCGUCAUGGUGAAUCUGGUAUGAAAUGGAAGGGAGAAGAAUACAAAGGAAAAGUGAAGUAUUUCCAAGCAUCAUCUUAUUCACUGUUUGCCUAGGCCUGACUCUGGCAGAAACUUUGGAAAUUCUUGUUACUUAUUGACAGUAGUGCUAAAGGAGUUUAUGACUUUAGUAAUUGGAUUGGUCUUCCUUCAAAGACUUUUGGUCACAUAUGUGCCCUUAAAAAGUAUAUCUGUUAAAGUUAUUAUUGGAAAUCAAGUAUUUUUAAUCUUUCUGAGGUCCUAAUACAUAGUAUUUCAUUCCAACGAUAUAUAAUAUUGAUCAUCAAAUAAUUCUGUUCACUCACCAGUGGUAACACAGAAUAUCUUUACCAAGGUUUGCUUUUCUUUUUGGUACCCACUUUUUCCCAAAGGCUGAACAUAAAAUUUAUUAUUAUUGAUCUAUCUUUCAGUAUAGUGCAGAAAUCUUUUGGAUUAGAUAUUUUCAUCUUUACUUGGUUUAGUUUUAUACUUAAAUUCCUACCGAAGCUGACUUGUCAAACAUUUGGAUAAGUAUUGAAGAGAUAAUCUGUUUACUUCAUCCUGCUAUUUGCGGGUGACUAAAUCCAAUGUGAAAUUUCUAGAAUAUUCAUGUGUAAUAUUUCACUAUGUUUAAAAUUAGUUCUCCUUUAUUCAUUUAAACAAUAAGAAUUAAUCCAGAGUCUUCUAUGACUUCAAUAUUCUGCUUUGAGGUAAAAAGAUAAAUUAUAUAUCCAUAAUCCCUGAUUUCAACAUGUGUUUAUUUUAAACAAGAUAUAAAUGCAGCCCACAUGAAACCAACUAUUAUUACCUAUAGGAGCUAAAGUAUGGAUGCUAAUUCUGAUGGCAACCGCAUUAAGUUGUGUAUGGCUAGACACAGGAGUGGGAGGUUAAUAUGAAGAGAGCAGCAGCGGGAUGGUGGGGCAGAGAGACAGGAAGCCACUUGAGAAGAAACAAGGGGAAGAAGGGUGACUGAAGCUCACUGGCCAUGGCAGAGGCUUGAAGGAAAAUGUCCCGGUAGUGUGGGGGAUCUGUGUGGAGGACUAGUGACAACAAAGAUGAAAUGAAUAAGAAGCAGCAGGACUGAUGUAAAUCUUACGGAUUUUUUUUUUUUUGUUACCGUAGUACAGGACAUAAAGUCAUUGAGAUUUUUUGAGUGUGGGAAUGACUUGACUGUGCUACCAAGGGUUAAACAGCACUGUGUUUACAGUCAAACAGAUCAGUGUUUGAUUAAUGUCUCUGCAACUUACUACUUGUGUAACUUUGGAACGCACCUUUCCUUAAACUUCCUAAACCUGACUUCCUUCAUCUAUAAAUAAACGGUGGUAUUAAUGGUUCUAUGCUUCAUAGUAUUAUUAUGAAUUUUUAAUGAAGUAAUGAAUAUAAACAUAUAGGACUGGCAUCUGGGGACAUAGUAAAAACUCAAUGUAUAAUAACUUCUGUCAUGAUUUCCAAAGUUACAAUCCAGUAUGGUUAGUGUUGCAGUGUCGCUCAUUACCCAAAUGGGAGAACAGCGAAGAUUUUUGUUUUUGUUUUUCAAAUGUAUUGAGUUUAAGACAAAAAUGAAGCAUGUAAUAAGAUGUUACCAAUGAAAGCAAUAUAUGUAUUUUUAGGUCGCAUUAUUUUAUUUAGGUCCCUGGAUAACACAGAAUAGUUUGUGAUAGUAUAGAUUUGGAUGCACCGUUUAUACACAGUAAAGAGAAAUAAAAAUUUAAACAAUUAGCAGAUUAAUUUUCAUCUCAAUUUGUACCUUUCAUUGCAACCUAAAAACACUGAUGAGUUGUGAUUGCUUAACAUGAGCCAUUUGGAUAAGUGCAUUCACUCGGGGGUUAGUAGAAUCCAUGCUGGGAGAUGCAAGGAGGAGGCUCUAUUUUGGAUGUGAGCUCUUCUGUCCAAUUACUUUAUCAUACUCUGCAUCUGAGAGGUUACAGAAAGGGCUAGGAUUGAAUUGAGGACAGGAAACAGGCUACAGAUGGGUCAGGGCUAUAUCAAACUCGCUGUUUUUUCCAUUUUCAGCCUGAUCUAUGCGACCAACCAAAAAGAAAGGAGAAGGGAGGAAAAUCUAAAUUCUGGGUUCAGAUCAAAAUGUACUGACUUUGAUUCUUUGAUGAAGAAGGGGACUAUUAUGACAUAUAAAAGUUAAGUUGAAUGUCCCCUAGUUCUUGGUAGAGUUCAGAAGCUGAAUAUUUGCCUUGUGUAUUUGUCUUUGUUCCUUCUUUGAAAAAAAAAAAAACAAAACAACUCAGCCAGUAAUUUUGAUGUUCCCUGUUCAAAUAUUGAUCACCCGCAUCUCUUCCACAUGCUUGAAUGCAAUGCCAGAAUGGCUGCAUAUUGAAGCUGUGUCAUUGUUUUCAGUGCUUAAACAAGACAGGGGAACAAUCUCUUCCCCAGCAGCAGAGCGAAUUGUGAUGCUAGAAUCCCUUAGCCUCCACCAGGUCCCCGAGAAGCUAACUGAAGUGUUUCUUCCAUACUCUUCCGCCAAGUACAUCCUUUUACCCCCCACAGAUGGAUACAAUUUCUCCUUUAUAUAUAUUUCAUUCUUCAGUUGAAGCAGUCAAGGAAAUGAUUUUCCCUGCUGCUUGCCCCACUGACUUACAGCCCUCUGUCUGUGUGAGAUCCAGCUUGAUGAGAUUUUCUUUGUCAUUGCUGCUGAAGAAUCUGUUUCUUUGGAGUUCUACCUAGAACUAUGUUGUGCCACCUGCAAAACUUCCUGCCCUCUUGUGCGGUCAGCAAACCCCACUUCCCCCCUCCAUUUGCAGCUUCACUGUAUAAUAUCAGAUAUUUCCCUGGAACUUGGACUCCGUGGAAUAGGUGUUGUCAAACAUACCAAAAUUCUUAUUUUUAUGUUUUAACUAUUGAUAGUAUUUACAAGUAGAGAAGACAUUCUCCCUGAGGGUUUAUCGUCUG
This is a long non-coding RNA of Phyllostomus discolor (pale spear-nosed bat), 4310 nucleotides long. RefSeq lists it as uncharacterized. The transcript is spliced from 2 exons. Lineage: Eukaryota; Metazoa; Chordata; Mammalia; Chiroptera; Phyllostomidae. The record is from RefSeq and is a predicted model, not a curated record.